CAGAGGGAGACACAGAGAUGGAGAAUUUCCUUCCCUUUUACAAGAGGACAAUUUGCAUCAGUGCAAUGAAGCAGUAUCUGUCACUAUUUAUUUGUCUGCAUCUGUUUCCACAUCUCAGCCGGGCUGUAACUGUGACUCAGGAAAUAAAGCUUUUAAUAGGAAAAUCUGGAGAAUCAGUGAGAAUUCCCUGUGAACACGACGAUACAAACUACCUCACCAUGCUCUGGUACCAGCAAAUUGAAGGACAGGGGAUGAAGCUUAUUGCCCUCUCAGUAGGAAAAGACGAUAAGACUAUUGAAGAUAAAGCUAAUCAGUGGGAUCUGGAGAGACAAGAUAUUCUCAAUUCAACUCUCAUAUUACAUGAAGCAAAGCCUCAGGACUCAGCAGUGUAUUUCUGUGCAGCGAGUACACAGUAGCAAAUACUAUGUCAGGAGCCUGCAGAAAACCUGUAUCUGAGCUCAGCGGGG
This is a non-coding RNA of Bombina bombina (fire-bellied toad), 467 nucleotides long. Lineage: Eukaryota; Metazoa; Chordata; Amphibia; Anura; Bombinatoridae. The record is from the annotation of a RefSeq genome assembly.